CUCCACUCUCUCUCUCUAGGAUUUUUCCUCUCUCUACAAAGAAGUCGCCGUUUUGCGCCGGUUUCGCGUCCCGCUCGACGCUCGCUGUUUAGGUGGACUUGGGGCCAGCUUUUAAAAGGUAAAAUGGAGUGUUUUGACAGUAUGAUUCAUGUCUAAUGCUGAGAAUCACUGAAAGAGAGUUUUAGAGGGAUAUUUAACUUGAUUUCUCUCUACUUCAUAGUUUAGCGUCGGAUUUUGACGCGUUUUGGUUUCGUUGCUUCCAUCUGCGUGUAAUAGGGAUUCCAGCAGCUAGAGGUGAGAUUUUUAGCUGUGAAUUGACCCCCUUAGACCAGGGACGAACUACUUUGAAGCUUGCUUGAGGUAAUUAGCUACUUACAAAGCUAAUUCGGAACUAAAUACAAUUUAUUGGAACAACUUGAUGCAGUGUGGCAUGUUUGCUUCGCAGCAGGUUUCUGAACCUUAUUGAAUCAAAUUGGUGAUCUUGGGAACUGGUUUGGAAGGUGUUCUAACCAGGGGUAAGUGGAAAUUUCAGUUAGGAAGCUGAAUUAUUAAGGUUUCGGC
RNAcentral lists this long non-coding RNA (561 nucleotides) under Ananas comosus (pineapple). Its description in RNAcentral is "long non-coding RNA (ACOM_LNC041644)". Lineage: Eukaryota; Viridiplantae; Streptophyta; Magnoliopsida; Poales; Bromeliaceae. The record is from RNAcentral.